Non-coding RNA from Parcubacteria bacterium DG_74_2, 71 nucleotides. The record is from Rfam. NCBI's taxonomy places the organism in Bacteria, Candidatus Parcubacteria.
CGGGGUGUAGGAUAACGGUAGUCCGCGGCCUUGGGGUGGCUGUAGACGGGGUUCAAUUCCCCGCACCCCGA